UUGUGACUUAUUGGAGGUAAUUACAAAUGAGCUUAGUUUUAGAAGCAUGGAGCAUUUAAUUGUGGUUCAUACCUAAUCUGUUGUGUUUAACUUUAUCGGAUGGAGGUUGACAGUUCGAAUGAUGGGAGUUUAUCUGAUCUAUUCGGUUCUGGACAGCCCUGAUGAGCAUGUAUACCCAACUUCAUCAUCUGAAGCCGAGAGCAUUUCUUUUAUCAUGCCUCCUUACAAAAAAGGAAGAAGAUCAAGCUGUAUUAACAAAAUUUGGUAUGUGCUGGUCCAUCUACACCCCAUGAAAACAGCUUGGAUGGAAUUGAAUGGCUUGAACAACUCGAUGAACCAGCAGAUGAACUACCAAAUAAAAUACUAGAUGAUCAACUGUGACGGCCCAUUAGGAAAGCCCCUAACCAAUUGAUACUGCGAGGUCAAUAUUAUUAUUGUCCAGUGAAGUACAACAGUAUUAAUAUUGUGUAAAAUGUUGUAGAAAACAUACCAAAGAAGAAUGUUCUAAAGAGGAUCAGAAAUCCACAGUAGGAGCCCUGAUAUGUGGAGACCACAUUCCUCCUGCGCUCCACUCGUUAUCUCCACAAACAAUUAAAUAUUGAGGACCAGGCAGACAUGUGCGGACAUCUCAGAUAUGGAGAAAUGCUGAUGGAACUGGAGGCUCUUUACUGAUGACACGUGAACGAUCUGCUAAGCUAGUAGAAUUUUGUAUCAAAUAUGUUUUACGAAACCUAUAAUCAUUUCUGUAAUACAUACUCACAUAAUAUAACAAAUAGUAUUAAAUUUGUCUAAGAAAUUUACAAUGUUUACAUUUGGAUUAUUUUGCUCUCUAAAACAAAUGUCCUAAACAAAUGUGUAUACUUAUAAUGUGUUUUGUUAAUGCGUUUACAAUUUAAGAAAGUAACUAGAGCAUGGUGCCAGUUGCUAAAAAUUUAUUUUAGACACAUUUAAAAUCUCAUCCGGUGAAUAAAUGACAUAUCUAGAACCCCGUUAUAAAAUAUGGUUUUAAAAUUAUGUUUAGGGUAUAAAAAUAUCUAUGUAUAAUAAAAAUUUUACACAUGAAAUUUUGUCUAAAUAUUGUACUUUAGUUACAAACAAAAUGCUUUAAUUUUGAAAUAAAUCUCUUUAAGAAAUAGUUUCUUUUUCAUGUUCCAUAGAGUUUACAAUGUUAUUGUAAAAUUAAAAACACAAGAAAUACCAAUGUAGUAUUUCUUUCACUGUUUUUCUCUUCUGUAACAUUGUUGUAGUAGAAU
Long non-coding RNA from Homalodisca vitripennis (glassy-winged sharpshooter), 1253 nucleotides. RefSeq lists it as uncharacterized. The transcript has 4 exons. The record is from RefSeq and is a predicted model, not a curated record. Lineage: Eukaryota; Metazoa; Arthropoda; Insecta; Hemiptera; Cicadellidae.